RNAcentral lists this ribosomal RNA (400 nucleotides) under phytoplankton environmental sample. RNAcentral describes it as "partial small subunit ribosomal RNA". It matches the Rfam family "Eukaryotic small subunit ribosomal RNA", at positions 587 to 990 of the family's 1831-position model. The record is from RNAcentral.
AGCUCCAAUAGCGUAUUGUAAAGUUGUUGCAGUUAAAAAGCUCGUAGUUGGAUUUCGGGCUCGGCGACGACGGUCAGCCGCAAGGUAUGUCACUGUCGGCGUUGGCCUUCUUCGCGCAGACUUCGCGUGCUCUUAACUGAGUGUGCGUCGGAUACGCGACGUUUACUUUGAAAAAAUUAGAGUGUUCAAAGCAGGCUCGUGCUUGGAUACAUAAGCAUGGAAUAAUGGAAUAGGACUUUGGUUCUAUUUUCCGUUGGUUUCUUGAACCGAAGUAAUGAUUAAUAGGGACAGUUGGGGGCAUUCGUAUUUCGUUGUCAGAGGUGAAAUUCUUGGAUUUACGAAAGACGAACUAAUGCGAAAGCAUUUGCCAAGAAUGUUUUCAUUAAUCAAGAACGAAAGU